GCCUGGGUGGCUCAGUCGGUUGAGCGUCUGACUUUGGCUCAGGUCACGAUCUCACGGCUUGUGAGUUUGAGCCCCGCUUCGGGCU
Non-coding RNA from Felis catus (domestic cat), 85 nucleotides. NCBI's taxonomy places the organism in Eukaryota, Metazoa, Chordata, Mammalia, Carnivora, Felidae. The record is from Rfam.